This 497-nucleotide ribosomal RNA is filed under the name uncultured bacterium. Its description in RNAcentral is "partial 16S ribosomal RNA". It matches the Rfam family "Bacterial small subunit ribosomal RNA", at positions 28 to 507 of the family's 1533-position model. The record is from RNAcentral.
GAUGAACGCUGGCGGCGUGCCUAAUACAUGCAAGUCGAGCGAACAGAUGAGGAGCUUGCUCCUCUGACGUUAGCGGCGGACGGGUGAGUAACACGUGGAUAACCUACCUAUAAGACUGGGAUAACUUCGGGAAACCGGAGCUAAUACCGGAUAAUAUAUUGAACCGCAUGGUUCAAUAGUGAAAGACGGUUUUGCUGUCACUUAUAGAUGGAUCCGCGCCGCAUUAGCUAGUUGGUAAGGUAACGGCUUACCAAGGCAACGAUGCGUAGCCGACCUGAGAGGGUGAUCGGCCACACUGGAACUGAGACACGGUCCAGACUCCUACGGGAGGCAGCAGUAGGGAAUCUUCCGCAAUGGGCGAAAGCCUGACGGAGCAACGCCGCGUGAGUGAUGAAGGUCUUCGGAUCGUAAAACUCGGUUAUUAGGGAAGAACAAAUGUGUAAGUAACUAUGCACGUCUUGACGGUACCUAAUCAGAAAGCCACGGCUAACUACGUG